UACAAAAUUAAUCACAGAACAAGAAUACCCUACAGAGGAUGCUAACAAAAAGUUAAAAGGUAUAACUGGACAUAAAACUAGAAUAAGCAACAGUGUCCACCCAGUCCGGGAGAAGACCCUUUAAUCUCUUUGCUGGAUCAACCAAUUUUUGGUCUAAAACCGCCAGAUUCACUCUUAAUGGUUCAGAACUGUUGGCCUGAUUAAUUAAAAAC
This 212-nucleotide long non-coding RNA is filed under the name Arachis ipaensis. RNAcentral describes it as "long non-coding RNA (AIPA_LNC001765)". Lineage: Eukaryota; Viridiplantae; Streptophyta; Magnoliopsida; Fabales; Fabaceae. The record is from RNAcentral.